This 464-nucleotide ribosomal RNA is filed under the name uncultured bacterium. RNAcentral describes it as "partial 16S ribosomal RNA". It matches the Rfam family "Bacterial small subunit ribosomal RNA", at positions 339 to 795 of the family's 1533-position model. The record is from RNAcentral.
CUACGGGCUGCUGCAGUGAGGAAUUUUGCGCAAUGGGGGAAACCCUGACGCAGCAACGCCGCGUGAGUGAAGAAGGCUUUCGGGUCGUAAAGCUCUGUCAGAUAGGAAAAAAGUUCAUAUGUAAAUAGCUUAUGAAUCUGAUGGUACUAUCAGAGGAAGCACCGGCUAACUCCGUGCCAGCAGCCGCGGUAAUACGGAGGGUGCAAGCGUUGUUCGGAAUUACUGGGCGUAAAGGGCGUGUAGGCGGUAUGGUAAGUCAGAUGUGAAAGCCCUGGGCUUAACUCAGGAAGUGCAUUUGAUACUGCCAUCCUUGAGUAUGGGAGAGGAGAGUAGAAUUCCCAGUGUAGAGGUGAGAUUCGUAGAUAUUGGGAGGAAUACCCGUGGCGAAGGCGACUCUCUGGACCAAUACUGACACUGAGACGCGAAAGCGUGGGGAGCAAACAGGAUUAGAUACCCCUGUAGUC